Phacochoerus africanus (Common warthog) is the source of this 1090-nucleotide long non-coding RNA. RefSeq lists it as uncharacterized. Lineage: Eukaryota; Metazoa; Chordata; Mammalia; Artiodactyla; Suidae. The record is from RefSeq and is a predicted model, not a curated record. The transcript is spliced from 3 exons.
ACGCCGGGAUACCGGCGGCCGGCCCGUGGCGGCCCCGCCCACCGUCCAGACGCCUGGCUCGGAACGCCUAGGGGCGGGGCUGCGUUAGUCCCCAGGUCUUUUGCAUAUUGCCCUUGCAGCUGGAAGGCGAGCGAUAAAAUUAGUCAACAUAUAAGGAUUUUGGAGGUGGUAAGAUAAACGUAAGAUCUUGCCCACUAGCGCUCUUGGCUUUGGCUUUUUGUUCUGUGACCGGGACUGUUCAGUGGGUCCCUCUCUGCUCCCUGGCCCAAGUGAUGUGUACCUGGUCCCUGAAAAAGACUCUGAAACCAAGGGCCUUUGACUAGGGAUCAAAUCUGAGCUGCAGGUGCCAGCAUACGCCACAGCCACAGCAAUGAGGGAUUCACCAACCCAUGCUGAGCAGCACUGGAACUCCCUGAACUCCUAGAACUUUCAACUUUAUUUUCAUUGAUGUAAUUUAUAUUGAAAUAGGUUUUUGUGGCAAGCAGCAAGGCCUAGAGCUCACUCCCACAAUCUGGCAACACACGGCCCAGGAGAGUAAGUGAAGGUUAUUCUUACAAAAAAGGAACACUGCAGGGGACAGAUCUAAAUCUACACCAAAGACACAGAGAAGGACCAGACCCCAGGCCCACCCUUCUGGGGACAGUCCCUUCUGGGGAUAGCUGGGGAAUUUAGACGAGCUAGAUUGCAGAGGAUGCCGUGGGUGUCACUGUUACCUGUCUGAGGUGUGUGGGCUGCUUGAGGUGGGGACCCUGGGCUGGGGCUCACUGCGAAGGUGCUGGAAGGUGGACAGUGAACAAGCCAGGUGGGAAGAGUUUCAGGCAGUGGGUACCGACCGCUAGGGAAAGGGCCCAAGGCAGGACUAGGGCUGAUCAUUGGAGGCAGAACCAGGAGAAGCACCAGGCUUUGGGAGCAGAGUCAGUAAAGGGGAGGUGGAGCCUGGAGGACACCUUUGUGGAAGGGCAAUGGGGCGGCAAGAAUGUCGAAUUGUGAAUAAGGGGAUUGAUACCUGGCCUGAGUUAACAGACUUGAGGUUUCAUUGCUGCUAUAUAUAUACAUAAACUAAAGCCAAUUUUAUUUUAUAAGAAUCUUA